RNAcentral lists this ribosomal RNA (253 nucleotides) under uncultured Bacteroidota bacterium. Its description in RNAcentral is "uncultured Bacteroidetes bacterium partial 16S ribosomal RNA". It matches the Rfam family "Bacterial small subunit ribosomal RNA", at positions 524 to 776 of the family's 1533-position model. Lineage: Bacteria; Pseudomonadati; Bacteroidota. The record is from RNAcentral.
UACGGAGGAUCCGAGCGUUAUCCGGAUUUAUUGGGUUUAAAGGGUGCGUAGGCGGGCUAUUAAGUCAGUGGUGAAAUCCCGGGGCUCAACCUCGGAACUGCCAUUGAUACUAUUAGCCUUGAAUUAUGUUGAGGUUGGCGGAAUAUAACAUGUAGCGGUGAAAUGCUUAGAUAUGUUAUGGAACACCGAUUGCGAAGGCAGCUGGCUAAACAUAUAUUGACGCUGAUGCACGAAAGUGUGGGUAGCGAGCAGG